Molecule: ribosomal RNA, 669 nt
Filed under: Barnesiella sp. An22
Lineage: Bacteria; Pseudomonadati; Bacteroidota; Bacteroidia; Bacteroidales; Barnesiellaceae
Description: bacterial LSU rRNA
Rfam family: Bacterial large subunit ribosomal RNA
Source: RNAcentral
AAGAAAGUAAGAAAGGGCGCAUGGGGGAUGCCUAGGCUCUCGGAGGCGAAGAAGGACGUGAUAAGCUGCGAAAAGUUACGGAGAGGCGCAAAUAGCCCGUGACCCGUAAAUCUCCGAAUGGGGCAACCCAGUCAGCAAUGACUAUACCGCAUGGCGGUAGGCAAACGCGGGGAACUGAAACAUCUAAGUACCCGCAGGAAGAGAAAAUAACAAUGAUUCCGCAAGUAGUGGCGAGCGAACGCGGAAGAGCCCAAACCGACGAUGUUACGGCACCGUCGGGGUAGAAGGAUCCAUGACAAAGACAAGACCGAGCAUAGCAGAAUACGAUGGAAAUCGUAGCCAUAGAGGGUGACAGUCCCGUAAGCGAAAUGCGAAGGAAGUCGAAUGGACACCUGAGUAACCUAGGACACGAGAAAUCCGGGGCGAAUCAGCGGGGACCAUCCCGUAAGGCUAAAUACUCCCGAGAGACCGAUAGCGAACCAGUACUGUGAAGGAAAGGUGAAAAGAACCUCGAACAGAGGAGUGAAAAAGACCCUGAAACCAUGCGCCUACAAGCGGUCGGAGCACGAAAGUGUGACGGCGUGCCUUUUGCAUAAUGAACCUACGAGUUACUGUUGCUGGCGAGGUUAAGCGAUUCAGUCGCGGAGCCGAAGCGAAAGCAAGUCCGAA